Molecule: ribosomal RNA, 218 nt
Filed under: uncultured bacterium
Lineage: Bacteria
Description: partial 16S ribosomal RNA
Rfam family: Bacterial small subunit ribosomal RNA
Source: RNAcentral
UACGUAGGGUGCAAGCGUUGUCCGGAAUUAUUGGGCGUAAAGAGCUCGUAGGCGGUUUGUCGCGUCUGCUGUGAAAUCCCGAGGCUCAACCUCGGGCCUGCAGUGGGUACGGGCAGACUAGAGUGCGGUAGGGGAGAUUGGAAUUCCUGGUGUAGCGGUGGAAUGCGCAGAUAUCAGGAGGAACACCGAUGGCGAAGGCAGAUCUCUGGGCCGUAAAC